RNAcentral lists this unclassified non-coding RNA (276 nucleotides) under uncultured fungus. RNAcentral's name for it is "partial contains internal transcribed spacer 2 and large subunit ribosomal RNA". The record is from RNAcentral. Lineage: Eukaryota; Fungi.
AACGCAACUUGCACUCUAGGUUGUCCUAGAGUAUGCCUAUUUGAGUAUCGUACACACCCCACUCGAGCCGCGAGGCUUGGAUUUUGAGUUUUGUGCCUUGGCACCAACUUGAAUUGGAGUGAAUCGGGUCUAUGCGCGCGUGUCGUGCUGCUGCCCUGUUCUGACGUGAUAGCAAAUCUCGUCAGCUUGGUGCACAUCACCUCCGGCCAUACGCCUCUCACACCCCUUCUUUUGACUAUCGAUCUCAAAUUAGGUAGGACUACCCGCUGAACUUAA